GGAGAAGUACUCAAGUAGGUGAAGAGGCGCCCCUGCUAAGGGUGUAGGUCGGGAAACCGGCGCGAGAGUUCGAAUCUCUCUUUCUCCGCCA
This 91-nucleotide transfer RNA is filed under the name Clostridia bacterium. RNAcentral describes it as "tRNA-Ser". It matches the Rfam family "tRNA". Rfam says of the family: Transfer RNA (tRNA) molecules are approximately 80 nucleotides in length. The record is from RNAcentral. RNAcentral also lists the same sequence under 1 other name. Lineage: Bacteria; Bacillati; Bacillota; Clostridia.